GAAAAGUUAAAGUGCAUGAAGGUGGUGGUGUCUUCAAGGAGACUGCAUGGAAGAAUCUGAGAGUGGGAGAUAUAGUGAAGGUGGAGAAGGAUGAAUUCUUUCCGGCAGACCUCCUCUUGAUUUCCUCUAGUUAUGACGAUGCAAUCUGCUAUGUUGAGACCAUGAACCUUGAUGGAGAGACAAACUUGAAAGUAAAACAGGCAGUGGAGGCAACUUCUUUCUUACAUGAGGAUUCCAACUAUAAGGAUUUCAAGGCACAUGUCAAAUGUGAAGAUCCAAAUGCAAAUUUGUACUCCUUUAUUGGAACUUUGGAGUUUGAAGAAAACCAAUAUGCCCUCAGUCCUCAGCAGCUUCUACUCAGAGACUCAAAACUCAGAAAUACGGACUACAUAUAUGGGGCAGUUAUCUUCACUGGACAUGACACAAAGGUUAUGCAAAAUUCUACAGCUCCUCCUUCAAAGAGAAGCAAAAUUGAAAAGAAGAUGGAUUCAAUUGUAUACCUCUUGUUCAGUAUCGUAUUUUUGAUGGCAUUAAUUGGAUCUAUUGUCUUUGGCAUUACAACUAAAGAUGAUUUAGAAAAUGGCAGG
RNAcentral lists this unclassified non-coding RNA (587 nucleotides) under Hevea brasiliensis (rubber tree). Lineage: Eukaryota; Viridiplantae; Streptophyta; Magnoliopsida; Malpighiales; Euphorbiaceae. The record is from RNAcentral.